RNAcentral lists this ribosomal RNA (1287 nucleotides) under uncultured bacterium. Its description in RNAcentral is "partial 16S ribosomal RNA". It matches the Rfam family "Bacterial small subunit ribosomal RNA", at positions 230 to 1504 of the family's 1533-position model. The record is from RNAcentral.
CCUGCGUCUGAUUAGUUAGUUGGUGAGGUAACGGCUCACCAAGACUUCGAUCAGUAGCCGGCCUGAGAGGGCGAUCGGCCACACUGGAACUGAGACACGGUCCAGACUCCUACGGGAGGCAGCAGUGGGGAAUCUUGCGCAAUGGGCGAAAGCCUGACGCAGCAACGCCGCGUGGGUGAUGAAGGUCUUCGGAUUGUAAAACCCUGUCGUUAGGGACGAAGGCAUGAAUCCUAAUACGGUUCAUGUUUGACGGUACCUGCAGAAGAAGGAGCGGCCAACUAUGUGCCAGCAGCCGCGGUGAUACAUAGGCUUCAAGCGUUGUCCGGAUUUAUUGGGCGUAAAGAGUUCGUAGGCGGUCGAGUAAGUCGGGUGUGAAAAUUCUGGGCUCAACCCAGAGACGCCACCCGAUACUGCUUAACUUGAGUUCGAUAGGGGAGUGGGGAAUUCCUAGUGUAGCGGUGAAAUGCGCAGAUAUUAGGAGGAACACCGGUGGCGAAGGCGCCACUCUGGAUCGACACUGACGCUGAGGAACGAAAGCAUGGGUAGCAAACAGGAUUAGAUACCCUGGUAGUCCAUGCGGUAAACGGUGGGCACUAGGUGUGGGUUUCUAUUAACGGAAUCCGCGCCGUCGCUAACGCAUUAAGUGCCCCGCCUGGGGAGUACGGUCGCAAGACUAAAACUCAAAUGAAUUGACGGGGACCCGCACAAGCGGUGGAGCAUGUGGUUUAAUUCGAAGAUACGCGCAGAACCUUACCAACCCUUGACAUGUCUGUCGCGAGUUUAGGAAACUAGACUUUUCGGUUCGGCCGGACAGAACACAGGUGCUGCAUGGCUGUCGUCAGCUCGUGUCGUGAGAUGUUGGGUUAAGUCCCGCAACGAGCGCAACCCCUACUUUUAGUUGCCAUCAGGUCAUGCUGGGCACUCUGAAAGAACUGCCAGUGAUAAGCUGGAGGAAGGUGGGGAUGACGUCAAGUCCUCAUGGCCCUUACGGGUUGGGCUACACACGUGCUACAAUGGUAGUGACAAUGAGAUGCAAGGUGGCGACGCUAAGCUAAACUCAAAAAUCUACCUCAGUUCGGAUUGCACUCUGCAACUCGAGUGCAUGAAGCUGGAAUCGCUAGUAAUCGUAGAUCAGCGUGCUACGGUGAAUACGUUCCCGGGUCUUGUACACACCGCCCGUCACACCAUGGAAGUUGGUUCUACCUUAAAGCAGAUUGCUAACCGCAAGGAGGCGUUUGACCAAGGUAUAGUCAGCGACUGGGGUGAAGUCGUAACAAGGUAACCGUA